Molecule: non-coding RNA, 550 nt
Organism: Misgurnus anguillicaudatus (oriental weatherfish)
Lineage: Eukaryota; Metazoa; Chordata; Actinopteri; Cypriniformes; Cobitidae
Source: RefSeq, a predicted model, not a curated record
CGUGUUCCUCGUACUCCGCAGGCGUAGGAAAAUAAACUUCACUCAAGUUUACUAGUAGUUUAGCACCAUCAGAUGCUCUGAAGACCCACGGAUGAGCUGUAACGUACACGUCUUUUUAGUAAACAAUGAAUAUGAACAAUUAUUCAUAAAAGUGAUGUAAGUCGGAUCAUUAGAGUUAAGAGAUUUCAGAGGCGCGAGUGCUUCCUGUUCAGUCAUGGUGAUGGGAGUCGGGGGAGGCUGCAGACCUGGAGCCGGCAGAUAUACGCCCCAAACAGUUUUACGCCCCUGUCUGGCAGUUUUACGCCCCUGUUGUUCCUCAUGCAAUACGGUCAUGCAAACGAAGCCUCCGUUGCGACAACCGCCGGGACACUUUGCUUCAAACGAUACAAUGAGGAGAGAAGACACGGUUGGUCUUGAAGAAGAUGGCAUUGUGUGGUGUCCUCAGAAUGAUGUUUCCCCCAGCAUCCAUGACCAGGAUGGUCACCUCAAAUGCUGCAACACCAUCCUGAUCCCCUAGGCAUGGGAAGCCCACCUGGACCACUGAGUACAC